Molecule: non-coding RNA, 68 nt
Organism: Phrynosoma platyrhinos (Desert horned lizard)
Lineage: Eukaryota; Metazoa; Chordata; Lepidosauria; Squamata; Phrynosomatidae
Source: the annotation of a GenBank genome assembly
GCCUGGUAUAGUGGUUUGAGCAUUAGACUACAACUCUGGAGACCAGAGUUCAAUUCGCUGCUUGGGCA